GGGGGAUAGCUCUGGUGAGCGGCUUCGCCUUAUAAGCGAGGGGACCAGAUUAGUCUAGACGGCUGGGAUCAUAACCCAGAUCCCCUACCA
This 90-nucleotide transfer RNA is filed under the name Acaryochloris marina MBIC10699. Its description in RNAcentral is "tRNA-Ile". Lineage: Bacteria; Bacillati; Cyanobacteriota; Cyanophyceae; Acaryochloridales; Acaryochloridaceae. The record is from RNAcentral.